This 425-nucleotide ribosomal RNA is filed under the name uncultured bacterium. RNAcentral describes it as "bacterial SSU rRNA". It matches the Rfam family "Bacterial small subunit ribosomal RNA", at positions 34 to 507 of the family's 1533-position model. The record is from RNAcentral.
CGCUGGCGGCAUGCCUAACACAUGCAAGUCGAACGAGACCUUCGGGUCUAGUGGCNCACGGUGCGUAACGCGUGGGAAUNUGCCCUUGGGUUCGGAAUAACUUCGGGAAACUGAAGCUAAUACCGGAUGAUGACGUAAGUCCAAAGAUUUAUCGCCCAAGGAUGAGCCCGCGUAGGAUUAGCUAGUUGGUGAGGUAAAGGCUCACCAAGGCGACGAUCCUUAGCUGGUCUGAGAGGAUGAUCAGCCACACUGGGACUGAGACACGGCCCAGACUCCUACGGGAGGCAGCAGUGGGGAAUAUUGGACAAUGGGCGAAAGCCUGAUCCAGCAAUGCCGCGUGAGUGAUGAAGGCCUUAGGGUUGUAAAGCUCUUUACCCGGGAUGAUAAUGACAGUACCGGGAGAAUAAGCUCCGGCUAACUCCGUG